RNAcentral lists this ribosomal RNA (348 nucleotides) under uncultured bacterium. RNAcentral's name for it is "partial 16S ribosomal RNA". It matches the Rfam family "Bacterial small subunit ribosomal RNA", at positions 338 to 697 of the family's 1533-position model. The record is from RNAcentral.
CCUACGGGUGGCAGCAGUCGAGAAUCAUUCACAAUGGGCGAAACCCUGAUGCUGCGACGCCGCGUGGGGGAAUGAAGGUCUUCGGAUUGUAAACUCCUGUCAUGUGGGAGCAAAUUAGAAAGUUAGUAUCACAUGAGGAAGAGCCGGCUAACUCUGUGCCAGCAGCCGCGGUAAUACAGAGGUCUCAAGCGUUGUUCGGAAUCACUGGGCGUAAAGCGUGCGCAGGCUGUGUCGUAAGUCGUGUGUGAAAGGCGCGGGCUCAACCCGCGAACGGCACAUGAUACUGCGAGACUAGAGUAAUGGAGGGGGAACCGGAAUUCUCGGUGUAGCAGUGAAAUGCGUAGAUAU